GCAUCAUAGCGGUGAGCUGUCACCGCCGGCCGCUGGCUCCGGGGUGUGGGCCCGCAGCGGGACGCGUGGCCAGCACUGGCUGCACAAAGCGCCUCGCACCGCCGUGCCGCCAGUGCCGCUACUGCCCUGCCCAUGCCCGCCACUCUCCGCCACCGCCGCGCGCUGUUCCGCACAGGGUGCAGAUAGCUCCUGAGCUCCGCCCGCGGGCUGCGUGUCGUGUCUCGCCGCCUGUGUGUCCCCCGCGGGCUGUGUGUGUGCCCCCCGCGGGCUGUGUGCGUGUCCCGUCCCCGCGGGCUGAGUGCUUGUCCCCUUGGUCCCGCGGCGGGGAGAGGCGCUGAUGGGAGGCGGGAGCGGCGGGGAUCGGUGCUCGCGUCACUUGGGCGGCCGAGAUCGGCGCGGAUGGGGCUGGGCGGUGAGUCGGGAGCUGUGGGGUCAGGCACUGGGUUGGGAAAUGCCAUGGAGAGGCUGUGGGACAGAGCCGCGGCUUUAACAGGGCUGGGAAAAGCGGAGACUGACUGGGGAGCUACAGCGAUAGCGGAAUGGCGCUGAGGCGGUGUUCGUGCGUCUGGGAACACGGCCCGUGGAGCUGCGGGCACCGGAGGCAUCCGAAGGGAAGUUACACUCUGGCAGUGCUGUCUCCAAAGGCUCCUGAAUGGCUCCGGUUAAAAUCGGCUGAGGGGUGUGCUUCUCCUCCCAGGUGCCUGGGGGCUCCCUCUGGGGGGCUGGGUGUGGGGCUGAUCCCUUUGAGCUGCUGGGGUCUUGGAAGAGGUGGGUCAGGCCAUGACAGGGUGCAGUGCUACCUCACCUUGUUAAGCAGAAGGGCAAGGAUUCACAUCAUUCUUGCUCUCUCAAAAUGGGAUGUUGUUCCUGUAGGUUACCAGAGAAUUCCAUGCUUCUCCCCAUGUCCAGAACAAGCCAGAGCUGGAGGGGAGGGUGUUUAGGGAGGGGUUGGUACCUGAUGCUGUGUCCCUGGUGUGUGUGCAGGACCCCAGGCACCCCAAGGCAGAGAACCUGCUGAGUGAGGACAGCACACAGCCCUGGCUUGGCUGCCCCAAGGGUCACAGCAGGCAGCUGAGAGUGGGGCUGUGACUGGAGAGAGCCAGUCCCAUUGGCUGUGUUGACGUUGACACUUCCCCGUUCCCCACUCCCGUGCAGGAGCCAGGGCCACGUCCCACAGUGGGGUCAGCAGCUCUGAGCCCCCUUGCCCCUGUCCUUCUCGCUGCUCCCCAGGGAACUACAGCUGUGCCUUUCUGCAGGCUGAGGUGGGAUGCUCCUCGUGGCCCUGUGACCAGCCCUGUCACACCUUGGUGCCCACUGAUGGCACCAGCUGACUCAAAGCUGGACCAGAAUCGCUGCAGGGUUCAGAUGUUUUAGGAAGGAGAUCCAGGGAGUAGAACCAACAGAGGAGCUGCCUGUGGAAGCUGGAUGGGCUGCCUGGAGCCCAGCCCACCUCAGCCACUCUGCCUGGAUGGAGCUGUUGACAACACAGAACCAGAACCAGGCCCUGAGGCCCAGAGCUGGCACGAGCCCCCUGGGGUGUCACCUGGAGCUGCUGGCCAAGGAUGUGGGAGGUCCUGCAGUGCCAGGUGAGUGAAUCUGCACAGCUGUGUCCUGGGCUGGCCCCCAGCUCUGGGACCCCCAACAUAAGAAGAGUGUGGAGCAACUGGAAUGAGUCCAGAGGUGUCAGAACUCAGUACAUCCUUCCGGGUGCCGAGGACCCCACUGGGGGGGCUCGGAGACCCUGGCAUGCUGCCCAGAACACCUGGAGAUUUGAUUUUGACCGUUGGAGCAAGUUGCCAGCUUUGUAUGAGGACAUGAAGGUCACACAGGUUUGAACAGUGUAAUAACAAAAUGAUCACAGGGUGAAAAUGUAGAUUUUAGGAUUUUUGGUAUGGAGGUUAUGGGGACAAGAUGGAGGAAUCUGGGUGUGUCUAGCCUUCCUCCUUCUCCUUCUUGUUCUCCAUUUUCUGCAGUGGUGUUGGCACUUUGGGAUUGGUUUAGAGUAGAAGUGCACUGUCCAACAUAGGUGAUAGGUAUUGGGAAUUAAGUGUAAAUAGGAAAUACGUAGUUUGUAGUAUAAAAGGACAGCACCACCUCGGGGGCGGUCAGAGUGCUCAUGGCUGCCCUGCAGAGCGGAUCUCCGCUGGGCAGAAAGAAAAUUUUAUAGAUAAGAAUUAAUAAACAACCUCAAGAUCGAAAAGUGAGGAGUCCAGACUCGUUCUUCAGUUGUGCAGAGACAUCCUACGCAUCUCAGGGCACAAUUACUGACAGCAACCCAAGAUUUGGCAUCCCUGGCUGGGCACGUUCCAAGGGGGCACUGAUAAACCUCUUGGGAAGCAGCCAGCACAGCCCGGGAAGCAGCAGCCACUCUCAAGGCCAUCCAGAGAGCUGCUGCCGAAGGGACUCGCAGCAGACCAGUCCGGAGCGGAGCCAGAAGGAGCCCUGGAUCCGCUCUCCUGUGAACUGCUGGCGUUUCCAGCUGGACCUUCAGACUGACCUGACGACUCGG
Zonotrichia leucophrys gambelii is the source of this 2509-nucleotide long non-coding RNA. RefSeq lists it as uncharacterized. The transcript is spliced from 3 exons. Lineage: Eukaryota; Metazoa; Chordata; Aves; Passeriformes; Passerellidae. The record is from RefSeq and is a predicted model, not a curated record.